ACGUUGGUGGUUCAGUGGUAGAAUUCUCUCCAUCCAUGCAGGAGACCCAGGUUCGAUUCCUGGCCAGUGCA
This 71-nucleotide transfer RNA is filed under the name Loxodonta africana (African savanna elephant). It matches the Rfam family "tRNA". From Rfam's summary of the family: Transfer RNA (tRNA) molecules are approximately 80 nucleotides in length. Lineage: Eukaryota; Metazoa; Chordata; Mammalia; Proboscidea; Elephantidae. The record is from Rfam by way of RNAcentral.